UGAAGCCAGCACGCCGCGUGAGGGAUGAAGGGCUUUUGCUCGUAAACCUCUGUAGUGAGGGAAAAAAUUUCCAUUCUAUGGAAUAUGAUGGUACCUCAAAAGUAAGCCCCGGCUAACUACGUGCCAGCAGCCGCGGUAAUACGUAGGGGGCAAACGUUGUCCGGAUUUACUGGGUGUAAAGGGUGCUCAGGCGGUUUUGUAAGUCAGAAGUGAAAUCCUAGGGCUUAACUCUGGAACUGCUUUUGAUACUGCAAGGCUUGAAUGUGGAAGAGGAGGAUGGAAUUUCUGGUGUAGCAGUGAAAUGCGUAGAUAUCAGAAAGAACACCAGUGGCGAAGGCGGUCCUCUGGUCCACUAUUGACGCUCAAGCACGAAAGCGUGGGGAGCAAACAGGAUUAGAUACCCUGGUAGUCCACGCCUUAAACGAUGAAUACUAGACGUUGGGGUUAAACUCAGUGUCGCAGCUAACGCAUUAAGUAUUCCACCUGGGGA
This 490-nucleotide ribosomal RNA is filed under the name uncultured Chlorobiales bacterium. RNAcentral's name for it is "bacterial SSU rRNA". It matches the Rfam family "Bacterial small subunit ribosomal RNA", at positions 384 to 879 of the family's 1533-position model. Lineage: Bacteria; Pseudomonadati; Chlorobiota; Chlorobiia; Chlorobiales. The record is from RNAcentral.